Phasianus colchicus (ring-necked pheasant) is the source of this 1899-nucleotide long non-coding RNA. RefSeq lists it as uncharacterized. The record is from RefSeq and is a predicted model, not a curated record. NCBI's taxonomy places the organism in Eukaryota, Metazoa, Chordata, Aves, Galliformes, Phasianidae.
CCACAACAAAAUUCUCUGGAUCUAUUUUGAAAAUAUCCCCUCCUGUGAGCUGACUUCUAAUGCUGUUCACCUGGAGCAGCCAAUUGAUAGAGUCAGUGGAUGUAGGAAAUACGAUCCACAUGUGUGAAGUGAAGGAAUGCCUCAAAUUGCAACAGGCAGCUGAGCAGACCUGAGUGAAGGCUUUCAGCUGCAAGGCCAACUGAAAACCUGCCCCCAAACAAACCCAAGGAGUUUAAUAGCUACUGCGGAGACUGCAAUUGGAUGCAAAUUUUGGGGCUGGCUUUUCACUGAUGAGACAGCGAGCCCCAGGUCAGAUGUAUGCCCAGUUCACGUGAGUUAGGAGAAGAGUGGGAGAGGAAAUUAUGUUAUCACAAUUGCAAAAGCUUGGGAGAAAAAUUAUUACAGAGAGCCUGGUGAGAUUGGCAUUAAUUCUCAGGACGUUGCAGUGCAGCACAGCUGUUUUUAGGAAUGGGCUUCCCAGAGCACCCAAUCUCAACAGACCACCUUGAAUGCUACUUGGAAGGGGAAGGAAGCACUGAACUGCAAAAUAACCUGAGUGGCUUCCUCAUCCCACUUUGUCAAGAGUUCUCUGAAAAAGGAAAUGAAGACUUAUUGGUUCCUAACUUCACAAGUCCUUUGGAAACAGAAAUGGCUUACAAAGGGAAGCAGGGCUUCUCAGAGAGGCUGCUACAAGAAGUCAGGCUGAUGUUUUAACUCAAGUCCAGAAGCAUCAGCCCUGACGCAGAUUGGAGUGGAAAGUUCUCCUCUUAGAAAAAUUGAAAUAAGAGGGUGGUUUCGCUCUGUGUGCUGCUUGGGCCAGGCAGCUAUCAUUACUGACUUUCAGUCCUCGGUUCAACACAUGCUUAGACCUCUAGCUCAGAAAUUGCGUGUCCUUUUCCCAUGCAGAGAGGAAAAAGACAGCUCAGGUCCUCCUGCACUGUGUGCAUGGUGAGCAGCACAGCCCCUUGCUGGCAGCUGCUCAGUGUGAGCUGCCUCUUGUGCAACACCUGGGCAGUCCCAGGUGCAGACAAACAGGGUUGUGAAGCGCAGUGCUCACAGAACUCUUCCCUCCUUCCUUGUGAAACUCCCUCCUCCAAGCUACUGAAAUCCUGGGAUAAUAAUUAACUGAAUUAAAACUUGCUCUGUAAUCACAGCCAUGUGCACUCUUCUGGGUGCGUUUGAGUUAGAAAUGUUUGCAUUUUAAGGCUCUUUCCAUAUGAUGAUCUUGCAGCACUUUGCAUACAUUCACUCAUUUGUUUUCAUGUUGUGCUUUGUGUUUUAUUUUCGGUUGGAGGGAUGACAAGCUGCUUUUCAGGGUGUCCUUUGAAAGACACACAGGAAAAUUAAUCUCAUUACCUUAAACAGGGAAUAUAAAAACGAUUUAAAUUGAAGAUUUGGGGGCCUAUUCCUUCCGAGCAAGAACACUAAUCCCCCAGGUUAAGCUCAAUAAAUGGGCAGGGCAUCAGGAGGUGAGACCAGUGUGGAGACCAGUCUGCCUGGAAAGGUGGUGAGACCUCCAUGGCCACAGGCAGUGGUGGACAAGUGUGACACAGUUUGACCACUGCUGGGAAAAGUGACAGCACCCAUUGCAGCUGCUUGUGAUGGCUCUAAAGCAGUAACAUAGAAGGGAUUGAGCAGAGAAAAACCCAGACUUCUGAUCCAGACUGGAAAGUCCUGUUUGGAGAAUUGGACAAGCACAUGGCCUUGAGAAAAGCUGAGCACUAAAGUGAGGGGGAAGGAGGGAAGUCAGACCUCCAGGGAAGGGGUGGUUUUCUUUCAAGCUGUCUGGACUUUAGUUUCUUACACUAAAACCACGUUAAAUGUAACAGCUUUUGGUUCUGAUGUGUAGGCUUCAGAGAGCUGUAGCUGGCUCUUGGAGAUGAGCAGCCUCAGUUCCUG